Long non-coding RNA from Wasmannia auropunctata (little fire ant), 651 nucleotides. RefSeq lists it as uncharacterized. The transcript has 2 exons. The record is from RefSeq and is a predicted model, not a curated record. Lineage: Eukaryota; Metazoa; Arthropoda; Insecta; Hymenoptera; Formicidae.
UACAAAAUAAAAAAAAAUCGUUGAAUAAAUUUUGUGUAAAACUAAAAAACAGCAAAAACAGACUCAAUAAAAUUCACCAAUUACAUUAUGUGUGAUUGUAAUAAAAUUAAAAAAUUAGAAAACGUUACACAGAAUCCACUUCAGACACGAAAUUGAAGAGGUUAUCUGAUACGUAACCUGUAAAAAAAUGCGUAACACAGGAUGCGUCAAAUUAUCAUUCAAAUGUCAACGUUAAUUGACAAGGGUCUUCAAAGGUAGAAGAAAUUUAACGACGAGGAUUUCAAGGUUCAUUUGUGCCAUGCCGAUAAGAGUAGGUACGGCGCACGAUCAUUCACUAGCCAGUUAUCGAUGAAUACCUCAUCGGACUCAUUCACGAGGCAUACGUUUACGACGGGAAAACAAAGUUACGAAUUUGCACUUCAUUAACGUUGCCGAUGUACAAUCAUAGUCACGGAAACAUGGCACGAAUAUGUGGUUUUCAUUCAGAAAAACUCGACGAAAUGUUUCUCGAGCAAGAUAAAUCGUUUAUAUAUUAAACGAUAAGAACGGAAUGAGACGAAAUUGUUUUUCAAAAAGAUUAAUAAUGCGCAUGUGUGCUUGGAUAACCUAGUCAAGCAUCAUUAAAUUAUCUUUAUUAAUUUGGCUAUAUAA